GCCCAGGUGGUGAAAUUGGUAGACACGCCAGCCUUAGGAGCUGGUGUCGCAAGAUAUGGAGGUUCGAGUCCUCUCCUGGGCACCA
This 85-nucleotide transfer RNA is filed under the name bacterium. Its description in RNAcentral is "tRNA-Leu". It matches the Rfam family "tRNA". Rfam says of the family: Transfer RNA (tRNA) molecules are approximately 80 nucleotides in length. The record is from RNAcentral.